AUUGAACGCUGGCGGCAGGCCUAACACAUGCAAGUCGAGCGGAUGAAGGGAGCUUGCUCCUGGAUUCAGCGGCGGACGGGUGAGUAAUGCCUAGGAAUCUGCCUGGUAGUGGGGGAUAACGUCCGGAAACGGGCGCUAAUACCGCAUACGUCCUGAGGGAGAAAGUGGGGGAUCUUCGGACCUCACGCUAUCAGAUGAGCCUAGGUCGGAUUAGCUAGUUGGUUGGGUAAAGGCCUACCAAGGCGACGAUCCGUAACUGGUCUGAGAGGAUGAUCAGUCACACUAGAACUGAGACACGGUCCAGACUCCUACGGGAGGCAGCAGUGGGGAAUAUUGGACAAUGGGCGAAAGCCUGAUCCAGCCAUGCCGCGUGUGUGAAGAAGGUCUUCGGAUUGUAAAGCACUUUAAGUUGGGAGGAAGGGCAGUAAGUUAAUACCUUGCUGUUUUGACGUUACCAACAGAAUAAGCACCGGCUAACUUCGUG
This 484-nucleotide ribosomal RNA is filed under the name uncultured bacterium. Its description in RNAcentral is "partial 16S ribosomal RNA". It matches the Rfam family "Bacterial small subunit ribosomal RNA", at positions 30 to 507 of the family's 1533-position model. The record is from RNAcentral.